CUCAGAUGCAGUCGGAGCCUGGAUGGCUGCCGUCUAGCACUCCAGUCUUUGCUGUAUCUACAUUGUUGUCAUACUAUUCCUCGGCAGGCGUAGCUGCCGAGUGAUAAACAUAUAACCUUUUGUAAUUUCAAUCAGCGUCAUGAAAAUAUAAUAAUUUA
RNAcentral lists this unclassified non-coding RNA (158 nucleotides) under soil metagenome. RNAcentral describes it as "partial internal transcribed spacer 1". The record is from RNAcentral.